This 73-nucleotide transfer RNA is filed under the name Chloroflexota bacterium. RNAcentral's name for it is "tRNA-Arg". It matches the Rfam family "tRNA". From Rfam's summary of the family: Transfer RNA (tRNA) molecules are approximately 80 nucleotides in length. Their secondary structure includes four short double-helical elements and three loops (D, anti-codon, and T loops). The record is from RNAcentral. RNAcentral also lists the same sequence under 1 other name. Lineage: Bacteria; Bacillati; Chloroflexota.
ACCCCUGUAGCUCAGGAGGAUAGAGCACUGGUUUCCUAAACCAGGUGCCCCGGUUCGAAUCCGGGCAGGGGUA